ACACUCCUGCGGGAGGCAGCAGUGGGGAAUUUUGGACAAUGGGCGAAAGCCUGAUCCAGCAAUGCCGCGUGUGUGAAGAAGGCCUUCGGGUUGUAAAGCACUUUUGUCCGGAAAGAAAUCCUUGGCUCUAAUACAGUCGGGGGAUGACGGUACCGGAAGAAUAAGCACCGGCUAACUACGUGCCAGCAGCCGCGGUAAUACGUAGGGUGCGAGCGUUAAUCGGAAUUACUGGGCGUAAAGCGUGCGCAGGCGGUUUGCUAAGAUCGAUGUGAAAUCCCCGGGCUCAACCUGGGAACUGCAUUGGUGACUGGCAGGCUAGAGUAUGGCAGAGGGGGGUAGAAUUCCACGUGUAGCAGUGAAAUGCGUAGAGAUGUGGAGGAAUACCGAUGGCGAAGGCAGCCCCCUGGGCCAAUACUGACGCUCAUGCACGAAAGCGUGGGGAGCAAACAGGAUUAGAUACCCUAGUAGUCCCAUG
RNAcentral lists this ribosomal RNA (475 nucleotides) under uncultured organism. Its description in RNAcentral is "partial 16S ribosomal RNA". It matches the Rfam family "Bacterial small subunit ribosomal RNA", at positions 333 to 799 of the family's 1533-position model. The record is from RNAcentral.